AGCGGGGAAAGCGGGCGUGACGUAGAGCAAGUGGCGGCCAGCCCGCGUCUGGCGAAUUGACGAGCCGCACGAGCAGCCGUGCGUCGGUAAAUAGAGCGGGGCUGAAGGAAGCUGGUACUAAAGGAGGGGAAAUUGCGAUCUCUGAGGGAACGCCACGGAAAACGCCAGUUGUUUGGUUGUUUUUCAGUAAUUUCUACUGAGACUUUCACGUCCAUUUCGCUCAGAAUCCUGAAGGUGGAUUCAUAGCUUAAUUACACCUCAAUUUGCACUGCCUCUCCCCCAAGUAUCGCAUAUGUAUUGCUGGAACUUCCACAGCCCCAUGUCAUAGAAUGGCCUGGGUUGAAAAGGACCACAAUGAUCAUGUAGUUCCAACCCCCCUGCUAUGUGCAGAGUCGCCAACCACCAGACCAGGCUGCCCAGAGCCACAUCCAGCCUGGCCUUGAAUGCCU
This 449-nucleotide long non-coding RNA is filed under the name Gallus gallus (chicken). The record is from RNAcentral. Lineage: Eukaryota; Metazoa; Chordata; Aves; Galliformes; Phasianidae.